UGGGGAAUUUUGGACAAUGGGCGCAAGCCUGAUCCAGCAAUGCCGCGUGCAGGAUGAAGGCCUUCGGGUUGUAAACUGCUUUUGUACGGAACGAAACGGCUCUGGUUAAUACCUGGGGCUAAUGACGGUACCGUAAGAAUAAGCACCGGCUAACUACGUGCCAGCAGCCGCGGUAAUACGUAGGGUGCGAGCGUUAAUCGGAAUUACUGGGCGUAAAGCGUGCGCAGGCGGUUAUAUAAGACAGAUGUGAAAUCCCCGGGCUCAACCUGGGAACUGCAUUUGUGACUGCAUAGCUAGAGUACGGCAGAGGGGGAUGGAAUUCCGCGUGUAGCAGUGAAAUGCGUAGAUAUGCGGAGGAACACCGAUGGCGGAGGCAAUCCCCUGGGCCUGUACUGACGCUCAUGCACGAAAGCGUGGGGAGCAAACA
RNAcentral lists this ribosomal RNA (427 nucleotides) under uncultured bacterium. RNAcentral's name for it is "bacterial SSU rRNA". It matches the Rfam family "Bacterial small subunit ribosomal RNA", at positions 355 to 774 of the family's 1533-position model. The record is from RNAcentral.